AGAGUUUGAUCCUGGCUCAGAUUGAACGCUGGCGGCAGGCCUAACACAUGCAAGUCGAGCGGUAGCACAGGAGAGCUUGCUCUCUGGGUGACGAGCGGCGGACGGGUGAGUAAUGUCUGGGAAACUGCCUGAUGGAGGGGGAUAACUACUGGAAACGGUAGCUAAUACCGCAUAACGUCUUCGGACCAAAGUGGGGGACCUUCGGGCCUCACGCCAUCAGAUGUGCCCAGAUGGGAUUAGCUAGUAGGUGGGGUAAUGGCUCACCUAGGCGACGAUCCCUAGCUGGUCUGAGAGGAUGACCAGCCACACUGGAACUGAGACACGGUCCAGACUCCUACGGGAGGCAGCAGUGGGGAAUAUUGCACAAUGGGCGCAAGCCUGAUGCAGCCAUGCCGCGUGUGUGAAGAAGGCCUUCGGGUUGUAAAGCACUUUCAGCGAGGAGGAAGGGCAGUGUGUUAAUAGCACAUUGCAUUGACGUUACUCGCAGAAGAAGCACCGGCUAACUCCGUGCCAGCAGCCGCGGUAAUACGGAGGGUGCAAGCGUUAAUCGGAAUUACUGGGCGUAAAGCGCACGCAGGCGGUUUGUUAAGUCAGAUGUGAAAUCCCCGCGCUUAACGUGGGAACUGCAUUUGAAACUGGCAAGCUAGAGUCUUGUAGAGGGGGGUAGAAUUCCAGGUGUAGCGGUGAAAUGCGUAGAGAUCUGGAGGAAUACCGGUGGCGAAGGCGGCCCCCUGGACAAAGACUGACGCUCAGGUGCGAAAGCGUGGGGAGCAAACAGGAUUAGAUACCCCGGUAGU
RNAcentral lists this ribosomal RNA (797 nucleotides) under uncultured bacterium. Its description in RNAcentral is "bacterial SSU rRNA". It matches the Rfam family "Bacterial small subunit ribosomal RNA", at positions 8 to 794 of the family's 1533-position model. The record is from RNAcentral.